RNAcentral lists this ribosomal RNA (1212 nucleotides) under Salmonella enterica. RNAcentral's name for it is "partial 23S ribosomal RNA". It matches the Rfam family "Bacterial large subunit ribosomal RNA", at positions 628 to 1756 of the family's 2925-position model. Lineage: Bacteria; Pseudomonadati; Pseudomonadota; Gammaproteobacteria; Enterobacterales; Enterobacteriaceae. The record is from RNAcentral.
UUAUAUUCUGUAGCAAGGUUAACCGUAUAGGGGAGCCGCAGGGAAACCGAGUCUUAACCGGGCGUUAAGUUGCAGGGUAUAGACCCGAAACCCGGUGAUCUAGCCAUGGGCAGGUUGAAGGUUGGGUAACACUAACUGGAGGACCGAACCGACUAAUGUUGAAAAAUUAGCGGAUGACCUGUGGCUGGGGGUGAAAGGCCAAUCAAACCGGGAGAUAGCUGGUUCUCCCCGAAAGCUAUUUAGGUAGCGCCUCGUGAAUUCAUCUCCGGGGGUAGAGCACUGUUUCGGCUAGGGGGCCAUCCCGGCUUACCAACCCGAUGCAAACUGCGAAUACCGGAGAAUGUUAUCACGGGAGACACACGGCGGGUGCUAACGUCCGUCGUGAAGAGGGAAACAACCCAGACCGCCAGCUAAGGUCCCAAAGUCAUGGUUAAGUGGGAAACGAUGUGGGAAGGCCCAGACAGCCAGGAUGUUGGCUUAGAAGCAGCCAUCAUUUAAAGAAAGCGUAAUAGCUCACUGGUCGAGUCGGCCUGCGCGGAAGAUGUAACGGGGCUAAACCAUGCACCGAAGCUGCGGCAGCGAACGUAUCACCCAAGACAACUUUACGGAGUUAACGAUUGACGGAGCGAAGCGACGUCAAAGCGUUCAUUAAAGUCGAGUUGGCUUAGGGAUACGUUCGUUGGGUAGGGGAGCGUUCUGUAAGCCUGUGAAGGUGGCCUGUGAGGGUUGCUGGAGGUAUCAGAAGUGCGAAUGCUGACAUAAGUAACGAUAAAGCGGGUGAAAAGCCCGCUCGCCGGAAGACCAAGGGUUCCUGUCCAACGUUAAUCGGGGCAGGGUGAGUCGACCCCUAAGGCGAGGCCGAAAGGCGUAGUCGAUGGGAAACGGGUUAAUAUUCCCGUACUUGGUGUUACUGCGAAGGGGGGACGGAGAAGGCUAUGUUGGCCGGGCGACGGUUGUCCCGGUUUAAGCGUGUAGGUGUGUGUUCCAGGUAAAUCCGGUUCACUUUAACACUGAGGCGUGAUGACGAGGCACUACGGUGCUGAAGCAACAAAUGCCCUGCUUCCAGGAAAAGCCUCUAAGCAUCAGGUAACAUCAAAUCGUACCCCAAACCGACACAGGUGGUCAGGUAGAGAAUACCAAGGCGCUUGAGAGAACUCGGGUGAAGGAACUAGGCAAAAUGGUGCCGUAACUUCGGGAGAAGGCACGCUGACA